GACGAACGCUGGCGGCGUGCUUAACACAUGCAAGUCGAACGAUGAAGCAAAGAAUCUAAGCUUCGGCAGAAAUUCACUUCGGAUUAGUGGCAGACGGGUGAGUAACCCUUGAGCAACCUACCUCUUACAAAGGGAUAGCCUCGGGAAACCGGGAUUUAUACCAUAUAACAUUGCGAUGAAGCAUUUCGAUGCAAUCAAAGCUACGGCGGUAAGAGAUGGGCUCGCGUCCCAUUAACCGGGUGGGGGGGUAACGGCUCACCAUAGCGACGAUGGGUAACCGGCAUGAGAGGGUGAGCCGACACACUGGCACUGAGGCACAGUCCAGACUCCUCCGGGAGGGAGCAGAGGGGAAUAUUGCACAAUGGAGGGAACUAUGAUGGAGCGACGCCGCGUAAGUGAUGAAGGAAUUCGUUUCGUAAAGCUCUGUUCUAUGGGAAGAAAAUGACUGUACCAUAGGAGAAAGCUCCGGCUAACUACGUG
RNAcentral lists this ribosomal RNA (480 nucleotides) under uncultured bacterium. Its description in RNAcentral is "partial 16S ribosomal RNA". It matches the Rfam family "Bacterial small subunit ribosomal RNA", at positions 28 to 507 of the family's 1533-position model. The record is from RNAcentral.